GACGAACGCUGGCGGCGUGCCUAAUACAUGCAAGUCGAGCGAUGAAGCUUGGUGCUUGCACCAAUUUGAAGAGCAGCGAACGGGUGAGUAACGCGUGGGGAAUCUGCCUUUGAGCGGGGGACAACAUUUGGAAACGAAUGCUAAUACCGCAUAAUAACUUUAAACAUAAGUUUUAAGUGUGAAAGAUGCAAUUGCAUCACUCAAAGAUGAUCCCGCGUUGUAUUAGCUAGUUGGUGAGGUAAAGGCUCACCAAGGCGAUGAUACAUAGCCGGCCUGAGAGGGUGAUCAGCCACAUUGGGACUGAGACACGGCCCAAACUCCUACGGGAGGCAGCAGUAGGGAAUCUUCGGCAAUGGGCGAAAGUCUGACCGAGCAACGCCGCGUGAGUGAAGAAGGUUUUCGGGUCGUAAAACUCUGUUGGUAGGGAAGAACGUUGGUGAGAGUGGAAAGCUCAUCAAGUGACGGUAACUACCCAGAAAGGGACGGCUAACUACGUG
RNAcentral lists this ribosomal RNA (497 nucleotides) under uncultured bacterium. Its description in RNAcentral is "partial 16S ribosomal RNA". It matches the Rfam family "Bacterial small subunit ribosomal RNA", at positions 28 to 507 of the family's 1533-position model. The record is from RNAcentral.